Non-coding RNA from Maylandia zebra (zebra mbuna), 168 nucleotides. Lineage: Eukaryota; Metazoa; Chordata; Actinopteri; Cichliformes; Cichlidae. The record is from RefSeq and is a predicted model, not a curated record.
GGUGUUCAGAGCUACCUGCAUCAAGCUGUUGAUAACUGUCAAGAUCCUGCUGUGUGCACAUGAUGACAACGUUGGUGCAGUUUUUCUUCGUGUUGUUCCAAACAGAUCACAGUUCUUUGAAUAUGAGUCAGUAACUUUUUACUGUAAGGGCGUCUCUAAUUAUAAUAU